Long non-coding RNA from Salvelinus sp. IW2-2015, 384 nucleotides. RefSeq lists it as uncharacterized. The transcript is spliced from 3 exons. The record is from RefSeq and is a predicted model, not a curated record. Lineage: Eukaryota; Metazoa; Chordata; Actinopteri; Salmoniformes; Salmonidae.
UGGAGCGCCGCUGCUAGAAGUGGGAACAUCCAACGCAUGCUUAUUCGCGAGCCUAAUUCAAUAAAGCCCGUCACACACGAGACUAAUCUGCAACCGGGCUGAGGCUGGAACUAAGAAAGUCGUUGCGCACCAUACACUGAAUCGUACAUCUGCUGUGGCAUAUUUGCUGGCAUAUUUAUUUUUCCUCGCUAGUGGAAUACGACAGACUGACACUGAUGGGCUUGCUGUGUAUUUGGGCACUUCCUGUCCUGCUCGGAGCCUCUGUCUCUGUCUGCUGGCUGACUGAAGGGCAGAGGAGCAUGGAUACAGCAAACAGACCAGAGAACCCCUCCCAGGGACCACAGACCAGGAAGAGCGGACAUGCUGACGGGGUGGCCGAUCCAU